Sorghum bicolor (sorghum) is the source of this 381-nucleotide long non-coding RNA. RefSeq lists it as uncharacterized. The record is from RefSeq and is a predicted model, not a curated record. The transcript has 2 exons. Lineage: Eukaryota; Viridiplantae; Streptophyta; Magnoliopsida; Poales; Poaceae.
AGCCACAGGGCACCACAUUCCUAAACCCAUCAAGUCAAGAUCGUUACAACCCAUUUUGGUGAGUGACAUACUAGAAAGACACUACACCUCAUAGUUGCACAAGUGAAACCUAUUUAUCUUGGGAUCCAACAAGCUUACAAGUUACAUGGCGCAAGGAAGAGAAGAUGCUAAAGGCCGACCUAAGAAGCAGAGGCCCGGGAAGGCGAACUCAAAGUAAAGCGGUAGCGAGUGGCCUAUGCUUCUAUAAUACUUAAGCAAAGAGCAAUGAGGAAUAGAGUCUUUUAUGUCAUAAUGAAAUUAUGUUAUCCUAAUACUAAAGACACCUUUGUAACUUAGGCUAUCUUCUAUAAUGACAUAUCAGGUUGGUAUAUUAGGGCAUUA